CACACAUUAGACUCUGCAUUGCUAAGGCUGACAGAAAUAGUAAGAAACAUACAGAAAGAUACAAGGAUUUAAGAGAAAGUACAGAAGGAGAAACUGACAAAGGAAUUGUCUGGGCGUGCCUGGCUCAAGUCAGACGUCGGCAGCUUGGGGAGCAGGUAUGGGCUGCUGCUACAGCACUAGAGAGGAAGGCGAUGAGAAGCACAGAACCAACGGCUGUAAAGAAUGUUGCUUGAAGACCCGAAACUGUCUGCUCAGCCGGGAGUGUUCUCAGGCUUUAAACAUCGCCAGCGUCUGUGCCCAGUGUGGCAUAUGCAUACGAAUGUGGACAUAGUCAUUUCUAUGAUGUCUGCUCUGAGCUGUUCGAAUCGUGAUUUGAAGGCUAGAAUUACAUCUUCAAGUGCCCAGAGAAUACAACAGAGCUCAGAUGGAAUAAACAGAAAUACCAUCUACAUAAAUCCCUGAUGUAUGAGAGGCUGAGCAUCUAACUUCAGAAUAAAGACUCCUCCUCACAUGUCACUAUGCUGUUUUCUACAUGAGAUAUACUGUGCAGUUUCCCAUGUCCUAAUAUAUCUUACUGAAGAGCAAGGAGAAUGAAUUUCAGAUUUAAACAUGGGUUCAAAAUUUAAACAUAGAACUGUUGGCAUUAAUUGGUUGUCAUGAUAUCAGCAGAAAACCAAAGAUUCAAUGGAUUUAUACUGGCGUGUUGUGAAGUGAUGUAGAGAGUCUGAAUGUUGUUUUCAGUUCAUGUCUUAUUGUCCUGCUCACUCUGACUUAAUGAUCGUUCCUGGUACCUAGAAGACAUCGUAGAUCAAAGACAGCAACAUGGUCAAGCGGAGAUGUUUGUAUCAUGUGUCUCCCGUUCUCUGUAGUUCCCAUUAUUAAGUAACCAGGCUGUCGUCCACACUUGGAUGAAGGAGACUCUGCUCUGCAAACUAACGUACCCUAUGUUAAGUAUUCACCUCUGACUAAAGGAACUGACUUUAGUUGACUUUAACUGACUCCCAACUGUUGUACGUGGAACAAAUGUAAAAAUGUACCAUAGAUACUUACCUGUGAAAGCUCAGACAGGCUUAAAUGGAGAAAGAAAAACAAAUUCUCCGUUGUUAACUGUGUGUGAAUGAACAUUUACAAGGUGAUAUCAAUACCUUCAAAGGAAGAGCUCUUGUUGUGGCAUUUGAGGACGUGCAUGGAAACUGUGAUGUCAAAUCUACAAAUAUCUGAUAAUUCUGUUGCAAAAGAAAUAUUCAUCCCAGACAAGAGGUGGCAUACUGUAUCAGCAAUGAGUUCAUUCGGCUGGUUGUGGUUAAUUAUAUACAAUGGAGCCAGUGUUUGCAGGUACAGUGACUCUCAAACUGCUUCUCCAGUCACAUUAGUGAAAAGUGACAUAAAGAUGUAGGAUUUUUAACCCAGCAACUGCUUGCCAACGUUUGUGCUGGUGAACAUGUAUUUAAUUGGUCACUGAAGUCCUAAAGGGCUGGAUCCAGAGUUUUAAGAGCUCUUUGAUCAACUACAUUCUUUUAUAACAAAACUGAAAAACAUUCUUACCUUUAUGCAAGCAGUUCCGAGUGAUGCCUUUUAACUGGAUUUGCAUUUGCUUACACUGCUGUUUAUUUUUGCA
Lepisosteus oculatus (spotted gar) is the source of this 1618-nucleotide long non-coding RNA. RefSeq lists it as uncharacterized. NCBI's taxonomy places the organism in Eukaryota, Metazoa, Chordata, Actinopteri, Semionotiformes, Lepisosteidae. The record is from RefSeq and is a predicted model, not a curated record.